Molecule: non-coding RNA, 6077 nt
Organism: Equus caballus (horse)
Lineage: Eukaryota; Metazoa; Chordata; Mammalia; Perissodactyla; Equidae
Source: RefSeq, a predicted model, not a curated record
GAAAACAAGUAGGCUCAUUAAUUACUCGCAUGAGUUAUCAAUUCACACCACAUCAAACAAAAAGCUCACAUUUCAUGGACAAGAUGAAGUGCAAUUCAGAACAAACUGCAGCGAUGAUCCAUGCAAACGCCUGAGUUUUGAGGCUUAAUUUAUACAAAUAACAGAUAACCCGACUCUCCCCAUUGGUUCUCAGGACAGCUAAAGCAUCAUUUAGGGUUUCUGCCUGGGAGUAGCAAGGAACGGUUAUAGAGAGAAGAGGUUUUAGGCACUGUAUUAGAUACACACUCUGCAAUGACCUUCCCAUAUUUUCAGCCUGUUCCUGAACGGCAAUUUGUCCCUGGCUCCACGUCUUGGAAAUCUUAAAGCUCUUGAGCUGGCUGAGGCCUUAGACUAAUAGAGUUCAAACCUCUCAUUACCCUUAAAAAACUGCAAUACAGUCAGAGGGUCAGUUAACGGGAGCACUAGAUGUAAAAACUCAAAAGAAACGUAUGUUAAUUGAGCAUCUCUUGGUGCCAGGCCCUGUGUUCUCUGCUCUAAAUACAUGAUCUCACGCAGUUCUCAUGAUUGCCUCAUGAGGGAUACACAGGCACAGAGAUGGAGGCUGAGUUCUUGGGUUCAUUGACUACUUAUCUGAGUAUCUGCUACAUGUCAGGCACCAAGGUAGGUGCUGAGUAUACAAAGGAGAAAUAGACACACUUCGCUUCCUGCCCAUAGGAAGGUCACAUUCUGGCAGGGAUGGGGGAGGGGAGUCAGGCAACUUAAUUAGCACUGUGAUGUUCAAACAGCAGCUCAUUAGAAGCUCAUGAAAUAAUUUAGUGGAUCUUGAUCAGCAUGAAAAAUAAAUGAAUGAACAAAUAAAUAAAGUAGAAGAGAAUAACACAGAAUGGAAAAUAGUGUGCAUGCAAUAUCACAUGGCUAUAUGUCUAUAUAUCUAUAUCAAUCAUAUAUACGUCUGUGUGUACUGGUUUGCAAUGUACAAUAUAUUUUCUCUUGUAGGUCAUGGUGAAAAAAAGUGUGAAAGCUCUCAAGUUACAGAACAAAGUGACAAGUGCUUUAUUAGAAGUUCAUGCAAAAUGGUGAGAGCAAAAAGGAGUGAGUGUCUGCCUGUGGAUUAGUUAGCACCUAGCUCCAGAGUGAGCUGGGUACCAUUCUGGCUUCUCACCAAGAAGUCUCUGAAGGAUGGGAUGCCCAAAUCUAAUGCUUGGAGCUAAGAAGAGCUUGAAAAGGACUGGUAUGAAGUUUCAGGGACUAAGGAAGAAAACAGAGUGGAAGUCCCUUCUCCUGUAGCCUGGGAAAGAGGAUGGGCACCUAUGAAGGCAUAAGAAAGCACAAUGACACUAGUUCUGUGUUUGCACGAUGAAGCCAGGCUCUGGAAGAGGGGAUUAAACCUCAAGAAGAUGGAACCCAAAUCCAACCUUAAUCGCUAGAACUAUGGGAGCUGCUGGAACGUCUACCAGUAUCAGCUGGGUCUGGAACAAAUUCCCAUCACCCCACUGUUGAUAGAAUGCAGAGAGCCUGUGGAAUCUGGAAGGCAGGAGACAAGACGCCACAUGUGAGGUCCUUUAAAUGAUCUUAAUCUCCAGAGCAGUACCUCCUUUGGGAUGAUAGGUCAUUGCAAUCUCCCUUAUCAACAUAUGAUAGUUACUAAAUUUUCUAUUCUUUUAAUAAAACUUCCUUCAGGCAUAUUCUGGAUACCAGGUUUACAGGUUGAGGAUUUGUGGCAAUCCACUAAACUGCCAUGUGCAGAUAUCUUCUCGGGUUUCUGAGCAUGGAUUCAAGGCAAGAGAAAAAAGAUCUUCCCACAGAGUAACACAAGUCAUUCAUGUUGUAAGCUUCUCUGAUGUGGGGUUUCAGUGACCACGGAAUAAGGAGUAGCUCAGGGGGCAGUGAAAUUCAUCGUUAUCUUGGGGAGUUGGUUAUUGUGUAUUUACCUUUUAUCAAGCAACAUGAGAUGAUGUCAAGAUUAAUUAUUGUAUUCGUUAUUUAGUCCAUAUUUUUUCCUUGUACAGACUUAUGAUGAUAAUGACAAGAACUGGGUGCUAUAUAAAAUGAACAGCCCUAGAAAUGUAUAGAAAAAUAAUGACUAGAUUUUAUGUUUUAAGUUUCUUUACCCAUCAAAUAACAAAUUACAAGGUCUUUAAUAAGUUCCUCUUCACUACAGCUGAUGGCUCAGGAGAGAACAGUAGUAUGUGUUGAAAGCAGGAGAAAUAAUUAGGGUACGAUUCUUUUUUGUUCUAUUAAGAAACAAAUGAAAUAGUUCACGUGAAAGUGCUUCAUGUACUAAAAGGUAUAUUGCAAAUAUUAAACAUUUCAGUUAUUAUUACCAAUGCUAAUAAAUUAUUAUCAAGUAAAAAAUUAAAAGUAUUAGUGCCCACAAGUAAGUGAAAUUGUAUUUGAUGUUUCCUGGAUAUGUAGUUUUCCGCACAUCUUUAUUUUUAAACACAAGGACUCAGGUUUAACUAACAUCUUCAAGGAUUAACAUCAAUAAGGCGGAGAGUUUAAUAAAUAAUUGUUCUUCAAAACAGAAGUGCAGAUGGCCCUUGAUGAGUAAAUUUGUUCUAUUAUCUUCGUUGUAUAGAUGAAGCAGCAGGAGCGAGGACACUAAAUGAUUUGGCCAGUGUCACACAGCAGCAGAACCAGAACACAGAAUCAGACCACUGUGACUUUAACUUCUAGCCUUGCUCAUGAUUUUGGUUAUUGGUUUGCUUUUCCUUAUAGAGCCAUAAGCUAUUUUCUAGUCUUUGUCCAGAAUGUAGAUGAUUAUAUGUAACAUAAUGAUUAUUAUAUAUUAUCGUCACACACCUCACACUACCAGCAGCCUUAGUGAACGAAAGGACCUUUCUGAUCAUCAGCAAGACAAGUUCACCCUGUCUAUUGCUAGUCUAGAUUUAAAGGAAGUUUUUUGCCUUCUUAGCCUUUUAAAUUAUAACUGUUUUUAGGUUUUACCAUGUGUCAAUUAAAAUCAGGCGGUACCACUUUGUUUUCAGAAAAAAAAGUCUCAAAAGAACAAGUAAUACAAGGAAAGGUAAUAAAGCGAAUGUGUUGUUGGUGGCAUUUAACUUACUUUAAGUUCUACUUAAAGCUUCUUCAACAGAUAAAUCAUAAGAGGGCAGAGGAAGUAUCUACAGUUUAAAAAAGUAUUGAAAGAGAGACUCAAUAUUUUUAGAUGGGCAAGAUUAAACUUUCAAAUCUGGAGAUGCACAUAUGGGUAAUAACGCGAUUAAAAGGUAAACGCGAGAAGCUGAUUCCCACAGAAGUUCAGACGUGGUUGUUCCCGGUGGAGCAGAGGGUCUGUGACCGGGGUGGGCUAGAGAGAAGGGGCUUCUGGGGGUAGCAGUAAAGUUCUAUUUCUUGCCUUGGGUGGUGCUCCCCUUACAGUAAUUCAUUAAGCCAUGCCCUUGAUUUGUGUGGCUUUCUGUAUUUGUGGACUUUUUUUUUUCUUUCAAACUAAAGGGAUAUACAUAAAGAAAUCAUUUUUUUGAAAUAGAGAACUAACAAUACGAUGACGAGUUGUUAUUUCCAGGUGUAGUAGGACAAAAAGAGUGGAAAUGAAAGGCGAUGGUCCCUUCAUUUGUCAUACAAAAGGCUGGAUUUUGAGAGCCUAGGGCACAGAGCACGCUGCGUCAAUCACUGAGUGGUCUUCGGUAGUAUCUGGCCCCUUCCGUCUAAGAAUGUGUUCAAAUUGGUUUUGAUGGCAAAUAAGUCUAAUCUAUUGUCCCAGCAGAUGGAGGUUUUAUUAGCUUCGGAACUGCAUUUGAAAAUGUAUCAUAUCCAAAAUGCACAAGUUCUCCAGCUUUAUUUCUUGCUUCUAGGUUUUAAGUUCAGAGCAUCCCAAAAUUUCCUCCUCCAACUGGAACAGUCAAGAUAAACCCCAGAGGGUUGUUUAACACAGGAGCACAAAGAGUGGAGGGAAAGUCACAGCGACGUGGACUGGAAGGAUUUCCAAUCACAAUAAACACACCCAAAGAGAGAGGAAGAUGGCACGGAAGACGGAAGAUGUGGAGUCCGAGCCCCUCGGCAUGGCGUUUCUGCCCCCUCACGCUCAGACCAGCAAUUCCUACCACAUCCAUACGUGGACUCUACCUCUCCUCGUGAGUUACUUACUGUUCCCUGCUAGGCGUUUUCCUGUCUCCCUGCUUUUGCUCUGGGUUCCUUACCUUGGAAUCCCAUUCCACCCCUACCCACAGUCAAAGCUUAAAUGCCAACUCUUCCAUGAAUCCAUCUCCAUCCCUCUCCUUGCCUUCAAAACAAGUACUCUUCUCUCUGCAGCACAGCACUUUCUCCCUCUAUUAAACCAUUGGUGUCAUCUUGCCUUGUAGGAGGUUUAUGUUGGUCCUCCCAACCAUCUCCAGGACAAGAUUUCUGUGCCUUAUUCAGCUUUUUAUUCUCUUACAUGGCAAGUAGAACUCUUUGCUUAGUAGGCAACUAAUAAAUGUUUCUAGAAUAAACAAGAUCCAGAGAGCAUGCGGUACCAGUUUCUGCAGGGCGAGCACCAAUGAGUCAAGCUUAAAGAAAUGGGCAGAAUGAUCUUGGCAAGACAUUCAAAGUUCAAUGAAAUGGUUACUUAACCAAAUCAACUUUAAGUCUUGUCUUUUUUCUAGAAACAGUCAAAACAAUCAGUCCAUUUGGUCUACGAUUGAACAGUAUUUUCUCUGGGGUUAGAGUCCAGAUUAUAAAUUGAAAGCUGAACUGGCAUUCUGCGGCUCCCGGCAUUUAUGUGAGCCACACAGACCCUGAGGUACCUAGUGACAUGAAUACAUUUGGGACUAAACAUUAAGCACUCUCUGACUAACCCAAUAUUCCCAUGAUCUCGGUACUAACUGCCUGACAGCAAGAACAGCUGCAAAGGAUUGAAUGCUCGCUGUAUCCAGGUCCCGGGCUACAUGAUUUGCAGACCGCAUAUCGCUUGUGCCUCACAAGUAACUAUGUAGAGGAUGCGUUCCUUCCAUGACCUGCCUCACAGGGUGGUUGAGUGGCAAAGGAGACCACUAACAUGGGAUACAGAGAGCUCUGUAAAAUGGAGCGCACUACACAUUGGUGUCCAGGAUGAUGAUGGUGACAAAUUCGCUAUGACCAGGGACAUAUGCUGUUCCCUGAGGAAGUGUCCUUGUCCGGGUGAUUGAGACUGAACAAAUCUCUAGGUCACACAUUUCCCUGACUUGGACUCCCAAAUUGUGGGCUAUUAGGAUUAUCUUAAGUCACUAGAAGAAAACAAUGAAUAAUGGUAGAUUGUGUUUGAAUAUAAGAAAAGGUAAAUGGGGGAAAAGAUGCUUUGAUUACUGUUAUAAGGUUCAAGCACGGGAAAAGAGGGAUAACACUGGGCAUUUUUGAGUCACCACCAAUGGAGGUAGGCGCCAGGUGGGACGCAAUGGAGACCCGCUGGCCGUGGCCUCUGACAUGUGGCUCUUACAGUCCGUCAGGUGCUAGAGAAAAACUGUGAAGCGCUGGCCACACAGAUAGCCCUGAAUUUAGUCUGAGCUGUGCACUACAGGAAAGCAACCUAGCGCUACGAGGUGAUGUGACAGGAGGAGCUGACCUGGAAAGAGGGGUCAAGCAAGGCUCCUGAGGGGAAAGUUGUAUUUGAGUAGAGACCAGAAGAAUGAGGAGAAGUUGGCCAGACAAAGGCAGGGAGAGGAGAGAGACAUUACAGAAAAGCGUGAGACCUGAAAAAAUGUACUGUCCCCAAAACAUGAACGGAAAACUGCAAAGUUGACAUUACUGUUGAAUAAAAUGCAAGUAAAACAAAACACAUGGUCAACGGUAUUGUUAGGAUUUAGCAGUCAUAAAUAUUUCAGUGUAUUUGAAAAAAAAGUGCCAGUUUAGAUGCUCUCAGUUCGUAAGACUCCUCAAGCAUGUGGAAGAUGGCUGAGAAAUCACAGGCACUCAAAUGAAAGGAGUCAGUCAUAGGCAAAUAAUUUCAAAAGCCGAAACACUAAAACUUUAAAAAUAUUUUUGCACUCAAAUAUAUUUAAUGUGGCAGGUUGGUUCAUUUUAAUAUGAUUGAUAUGAUAUGAGCUGGGAACCUUCAAAAUAAAAAUAUGGGCUUCCCGUGUUCUGCUUUGGCGGCUCAGGUUUGA